GAUGAACGCUGGCGGCGUGCCUAAUACAUGCAAGUCGAGCGAACAGAUGAGGAGCUUGCUCCUCUGACGUUAGCGGCGGACGGGUGAGUAACACGUGGAUAACCUACCUAUAAGACUGGGAUAACUUCGGGAAACCGGAGCUAAUACCGGAUAAUAUAUUGAACCGCAUGGUUGAAUAGUGAAAGACGGUUUUGCUGUCACUUAUAGAUGGAUCCGCGCCGCAUUAGCUAGUUGGUAAGGUAACGGCUUACCAAGGCAACGAUGCGUAGCCGACCUGAGAGGGUGAUCGGCCACACUGGAACUGAGACACGGUCCAGACUCCUACGGGAGGCAGCAGUAGGGAAUCUUCCGCAAUGGGCGAAAGCCUGACGGAGCAACGCCGCGUGAGUGAUGAAGGUCUUCGGAUCGUAAAACUCUGUUAUUAGGGAAGAACAAAUGUGUAAGUAACUAUGCACGUCUUGACGGUACCUAAUCAGAAAGCCACGGCUAACUACGUG
RNAcentral lists this ribosomal RNA (497 nucleotides) under uncultured bacterium. RNAcentral describes it as "partial 16S ribosomal RNA". It matches the Rfam family "Bacterial small subunit ribosomal RNA", at positions 28 to 507 of the family's 1533-position model. The record is from RNAcentral.